ACCUGGUGAUGUGGGCAUUUUCGGAGCAGGUCCCUAAAAUGUUCCUAAGUCUCGACAAAGAGUUCCCCAUCCAUCUGUGAGAAACUUGGGAUGACUCUCCUAAGCU
Molecule: small nucleolar RNA, 106 nt
Organism: Malania oleifera
Lineage: Eukaryota; Viridiplantae; Streptophyta; Magnoliopsida; Santalales; Ximeniaceae
Source: RefSeq, a predicted model, not a curated record